AUUGAACGCUGGCGGCAGGCCUAACACAUGCAAGUCGAGCGGCAGCGACUCAACUGAACCUUCGGGGAACGUUAAGGGCGGCGAGCGGCGGACGGGUGAGUAAUGCCUGGGAAUAUGCCCUGAUGUGGGGGAUAACUAUUGGAAACGAUAGCUAAUACCGCAUAAUCUCUUCGGAGCAAAGAGGGGGACCUUCGGGCCUCUCGCGUCAGGAUUAGCCCAGGUGGGAUUAGCUUGUUGGUGAGGUAAUGGCUCACCAAGGCAACGAUCCCUAGCUGGUCUGAGAGGAUGAUCAGCCACACUGGAACUGAGACACGGUCCAGACUCCUACGGGAGGCAGCAGUGGGGAAUAUUGCACAAUGGGGGAAACCCUGAUGCAGCCAUGCCGCGUGUGUGAAGAAGGCCUUCGGGUUGUAAAGCACUUUCAGUAGGGAGGAAGGUAGUGUAGUUAACACCUGCAUUAUUUGACGUUACCUACAGAAGAAGCACCGGCUAACUCCGUGCCAGCAGCCGCGGUAAUACGGAGGGUGCGAGCGUUAAUCGGAAUUACUGGGCGUAAAGCGCAUGCAGGCGGCCUGUUAAGUCAGAUGUGAAAGCCCGGGGCUUAACCUCGGAAUUGCAUUUGAAACUGGCAGGCUAGAGUCUUGUAGAGGGGGGUAGAAUUUCAGGUGUAGCGGUGAAAUGCGUAGAGAUCUGAAGGAAUACCAGUGGCGAAGGCGGCCCCCUGGACAAAGACUGACGCUCAGAUGCGAAAGCGUGGGGAGCAAACAGG
RNAcentral lists this ribosomal RNA (769 nucleotides) under uncultured bacterium. Its description in RNAcentral is "bacterial SSU rRNA". It matches the Rfam family "Bacterial small subunit ribosomal RNA", at positions 28 to 776 of the family's 1533-position model. The record is from RNAcentral.